This 311-nucleotide unclassified non-coding RNA is filed under the name uncultured Ascomycota. RNAcentral's name for it is "sequence contains ITS1". The stretch from base 1 to 105 matches the Rfam family "5.8S ribosomal RNA", at positions 50 to 154 of the family's 154-position model. The record is from RNAcentral. Lineage: Eukaryota; Fungi; Ascomycota.
GAAAUGCGAUAAGUAGUGUGAAUUGCAGAAUUCAGUGAAUCAUCGAAUCUUUGAACGCACAUUGCGGCCAUAGGUAUUCCUUUGGCCAUGCCUGUUCGAGCGUCAUUUACACCCUCAAGCCCCGCUUGGUGUUGGGCGUCUGUCCCGCCGCGUCCGCGCGCGGACUCGCCUCAAAGUCAUUGGCGGCGGUCGCGCCGGCCCCCUCGCGCAGCACAUUUGCGCUUCUCGGGAGGCCUGGCCGAUCCGCGCUCCAGCAAGGACCUUUCUUAUGACUUGACCUCGGAUCAGGUAGGAGUACCCGCUGAACUUAA